Molecule: ribosomal RNA, 460 nt
Filed under: uncultured bacterium
Lineage: Bacteria
Description: partial 16S ribosomal RNA
Rfam family: Bacterial small subunit ribosomal RNA
Source: RNAcentral
CCUACGGGUGGCAGCAGUGAGGAAUAUUGGUCAAUGGUCGUAAGACUGAACCAGCCAAGUCGCGUGCAGGAUGACGGCCCUAUGGGUUGUAAACUGCUUUUAUGCGGGGGUAAAAUGCAUCUCGUGUCCUGCUUUGUAGGUACCUCAUGAAUAAGCACCGGCUAAAUCCGUGCCAGCAGCCGCGGUAAUACGGAGGGUCCGAGCGUUAUCCGGAUUUAUUGGGUUUAAAGGGGGCGCAGGCCGGAUGACAAGCGUGCCGUGAAAUGCCGUGGCUCAACCAUGGCACCGCGGUGCGAACUGGCUUCCUUGAGUGCGCGGAGCGUAUGCGGAAUGCGUGGUGUAGCGGUGAAAUGCAUAGAUAUCACGAAGAACUCCGAUCGCGAAGGCAGCCUACGGGAGCGCAACUGACGCUGAAGCUCGAAGGCGUGGGUAUCGAACAGGAUUAGAUACCCGGGUAGUC